GCCCCUCAAGCCAGCCCCCGCCCCGCCCUCUCUGCACUCCGUCCCUCCCCCUCUGCACCCCACCCCUUCCUCAGGCCUCAGCUUUCUCUUGACAGAUGGGAGGGCAGUGGGCACUCCCUCUUUAAAACAACAUUUAAUCGCCGUUUUCUGUUCUUGGACAUCAAAGCUGGGGCUUAGGCACUGCACUGGGGUCCCGGCGGCGCGGGCUCUUGGGGAGAGGAGUGGCUCUGGAUGUCACUCAGGGAGCAGAGUUGAAGCCCAGAAUUAACAGAAGUCUGCACAAGACCCACAAGAGUGUAGCUGAUCAAACAAAGAAGAGUGAAUCUAAGGACUGCUCCAUCCUGCCAGCACCUCCUCUCCCUCCACCCACAGCCACAGUGCCUUCCGCCUAGCUGCCAGCAGAGUCCCUCUCGCCCCAGCAUCCAUCCAUCCUUUACUCUUCCAUCCUGCAGAGAAUAUAUCCCCCCACCGCUCCCCCUCUACAGACAACUUAUCACGUUUUUGAAAACUCCUUAAUCACUCCUAGGAUAGGUCCAAACUCCCCAUGGGACCUCAAUGGUAGUCCCUGCUUGACACCCCAAUCUGUUCUUUAGAUCCACCCCUACCUUGCUAGAGUCAAUUUGAUCACCAGGAUGGUUUUAGAGACUUAGGGUCCUGUGCUCUGCGGCCUGUGUCACCCUGUUUCACCAGCUGAACAGAGCACAACGCAAGCUUCCUGGUCCUCUCAGCUUUCCCCGGGGUCUUGCUUCAUCUCAAAUGCUACCUUUCUCAGGAGACCUUCCCUAGAUGCCUGAGACUGUAUCGGGUGCCCUGCUAUGCAGACCCUGCAACCCGCCAUUUGUCACAGUGCAUUACUGUCAUCUAAGCUCUCCGGUGUUCCCUUCACCAGACAUCGAGUUCCUUGAGGUUAGGAACCGUGUGUUCUAUAUCUUGGUGUUCCUAGAGCCUAACAUUGCACUUGGCAGGUGCCCAAUAAAUCUUUGCUGAAUACAUGGAAGGAAAAUAGAGGGAAGAAGAGAGGCAAUUCGCUCACUGAAACUGAGGAUGCAGUCGCCAAGGGUGAGGAAAUGGAGCUAAAUAGGAAGACGCCCCUCACAUGCCCACCUAGGCAUCUCCCCAUGACAUCAAGAACUGGUAUCCAUGCUGCAGGUAGAGUAGCUCAGUGUGGGCUCUUGCGCCUGUAUUUGUUCCUAAGGUCACCUUAAAGGAAGAAGGCGUGACAGGCUCAGGACAGUGGCAUUUUAUAGCUGGGGACUACCUGGCUUGGUCCAGUCUAGGGUGAGCUGUUUCCACACAGACCGGAAGGCUUUGCCCCACCGGGAGGCCCUAGCUCUCUCUGUGCUCCCAGACCCAGAGCUACAGCUCUUUGGCCACUCCUUACCCGGAGUGCUGGCGGACUGACUCCCCUAGGCUGCUUUCUUUGCACCCCAGGGGUGCCUCAGUGAAAGUGAACUCUCUCAUUUAAACCUGACUCUGCAGCCCUGCGGCCCCCUGCAGAGCUAAUUACCCUGUAGUUCCAAACUGAUUGCUGUACACUCAGCUUAAGCCCUCCUUUAUUUAUUUACUGACUACAUUAAUAGCAAAGCCCAGUGGCUUUCAGCUGCUCCUUGUUACACACCUCUGGCUGUUCUCUGUUGCCCAGCUUCUCUCAGCCUGACAUAGAGCCCCCCGAACUUACCACCCUAACUGAAUUCCCUGGACAAGAUAAUAGCGAGAGAACACGGUUUUGUCCACACCGUAGUCCUGCCACGCUGGGCUCCUUCUGUCUGACUCUUGGGCAGUGGGAGAGACAACAGCCAGAGCUCACCAGCUGGAGGGGUGAGUGGAGGGAAGGUGGGACGCCUUUCAUCUACAGGACAUGAAAUGAAUCUGCUUCCGUUCAGCACCACAGCUCUUGUGGAGAAGUACUGGCUAUUGGCUCCUCUUUACAGGGGAGUAAACAGAGGCUGUGACACACACACACACACACACACACACACACACACACACACACACACACACACACACGGUCCUGUUAAGGGAAGAGCCUCCUCUCCAUCCUGUCAUCCAGGGUUGACAGUUUUGUUCUGUCGCCUGUUCUCACAGCACCCGCCCCUUGUCACCAGGAAGGAAUCCCUCCAUGUACUGAGUCAAAUCCCACAAUUCCUCAGGGUUGUCUGUCCUACUCAUGUACUUGGCCAGAAUUUGCUGGAAACCAGGGAACAUUCCAGGGGUGCAUUCCAGGGUGGGCCUGGGUCAGGUCUCAUUACCCUGGUGAGGAAGCCCUGCAAGGACACUCAGCUACCUAUGACAAGGUACCUCGCCUCCUUCCCAUUCUGUGGUCCAGGAGGUUCACGGCUGCCACAGCCACCGACAGUUUCUCUGGUGCCCUCGAGUCCUUGAGUUUACACUGGGUUCUAGCCAUGAGAUUCGGCAGCAUUCUGAAGACCGGAAGGGCCUCAAAAGGACCUCUGGAGUCAAGCAUUCAGCCUCCACUUUGAUUCAGAUUCAGCUCAGUGGCUGUCCCAUUGCCACACCUCUGAAGAGAAGGGACAGUUGGAAUUUAGCAAGAAGAACCUCAAUUCAUAGUCAAAAGGACGCUGUGUUUUGGGCCAGCUCUGCCAUACUCUGUUUGGCUUUGAUUUUGUAUUAAGGUUCUCCAAGGUCUUCUCUUCUCAACUGUGAGACGGAACAGCAAUUUUUAGCCCAUCUACCCUCAGGCACUUAUGUCAGCUGGGUAAGACCCUUAGAAAUCAACUUUGUAAAGACACCUAUGACAAUGUAAGCUAUAAGGGGAUGUGGCAGGCACAGGAUGGCCUGGAAGGGGAGGUAGAGGCCUAGGUGUCUGUCUCUUCCUAGUCCAGAAGCCCCUUUGCGUGGCCUGAAAUGAGCAGAAUGCCUACUUGACAGCAUAAGUAGGACUCUGUCUCCACCUAGUGGCUAGUGCUUGAAGGUGCGUAUACUGCUCAGGCAUCUGGAAAGUGACGGGUAUAACUGUCUUGGUUGAGUGAGGAUGGGUAAGCAGAGACUAUGAUUCACAUGAUACCAGGGGAGAAACACAACCUGAUUAUGGGAGGUCAAAAGGAUCUUUCCGGGAGUCCUCCUGAGCCACUGCAUCUUCACUCUUUACUUUUUCUCCCGUUGCACGCUUGGCGAUUUAGAUCCCAGUCUUCCCAACCCUCAAACGCUAAUUCAUAUUUAACCCUCACCUCACCCGGAGGGAUCAGCAGACCCAGAUGGACUUCAAAUCCUUAAAGCUUCUUUACCAAGGAAGGCCCAAACAGGCCAUUGGAACUGAACACCACCUCCAGGCUGGUUUUAAGAAAUGACAGGAGACUGUGUAUGGGGACAGUGGGGCAACCUAUGUCCCUGUGUUCCAGAAGCUUCAGAAAAAUUAGAAAUGAAAUGCUGUGGCUGCUGCCCUGACACAGGACUGUCCCUCCAGGGCAAUGUAAAAGCCUAACACUGUACACUCCUCCUCCCCUUGCCCAUCUCUAGCUGGAUUGGCCUCUGUUCUCGAGACUGUGGCUCUUCCUCACUCGGAUACCUGAGUCCCCACCCAUGGGCCAUUGAGUGUCUUUCCCCUUGUCCCUUGGUACCUCUGGCCACCUCGGACAGUUGCAUUAGAAUGGGUUAGAAGAUAUCUCUCACCAUAUUUCUAGCUAUGACUCUGGUUAGCUCUACAUAGCCUCAGAGAAAAUCCCUGGCUCCAUACCACCUGUUAGUUCUCCUCCCACCCACUUCUUUUAAAGCAGCAUUUGGUUUUUUAACUGAUAUCUAUUGGGGUGGAGGUGGAAGGUCUUCAGGAUAAAGUAAGCUUCUAGUGACCCCAGGUGGACAGAAGAAGGAAAUGCACACGUGGUGUCAGGCAGAUGAGAAGUCACAGUGACAGAGGGAGGGCACAGGGACCUCCCGUGUCUGACCUGAGAGACACCGACCCAGCUCCCAGAAAUCUCUUAACGACUAACCUCCGCUCUCUGCCCCACCAGAGCUUGAUCUUCCCGUUAAUUCUCCACAGAGCAGCUGAGAUCAGGCUAGGCCGUCUAAAUUAGAUUUCUCUGAUCUCAAAGAAAAUUAAAAAAAAAAAAAAAAAAAAAA
Mus musculus (house mouse) is the source of this 4077-nucleotide long non-coding RNA. RefSeq annotates it as predicted gene, 53521. The record is from RefSeq and is a predicted model, not a curated record. NCBI's taxonomy places the organism in Eukaryota, Metazoa, Chordata, Mammalia, Rodentia, Muridae. The transcript is spliced from 2 exons.